Molecule: long non-coding RNA, 746 nt
Filed under: Olea europaea subsp. europaea
Lineage: Eukaryota; Viridiplantae; Streptophyta; Magnoliopsida; Lamiales; Oleaceae
Source: RNAcentral
UGUAUGCAUUGUGAAGAUUUUUAUCCAUUCUGAUAAAGAAUGUUGAGAAACAAUAAAGGAUAAAACCACACGUCCAGGGCAACAUGGGCCCUGGACGGACAGGGGUGCCAAAUUAUAGAGGUGCGUGAGACGUCAAGCACAGGCCAACAAUAAAAUGGCUCCUCGGGUAGGGAAACUUCUAAGUUGAUUUUAAUAUAAGCUCCUGUUUGUUGGAAACAUUAUUUCUAGGCAUUUGGUUGAUCAAAAUUGCUAUGUUGUUUACUUUAUUUAUUCCCUUAAUACACGUACUUGAGUUAUUCACGAGGAAGAAGGAUAAAAAGAUUUGUUCAUAAAAAGAAAGCAGCAACAUUACAUGUGAAAGUUCAAAGCAGUAAUUAUUAGAUGCAAUAUAUCUCUCGACUUGGGACAUGAAUCUUGAAAAAAUGUUACUCUCUCUAUUUUUGGCGAGAGUGGACUUUUCGGAUUUCAGCUUACAUUUUUCCUUCAUGGUGGGGUUUUUCCACGUAAACAUUGAGUUUGUUAUUUGUCUGAUUAUUCAGUUUCUUUAAUCCAUGAAAACCCCAAUAAAAGAUGGCAACAUUUACCUUCUAUACGUGUCUGAGUGCUCUUUUGCUUCAAACGGGGGCACCCCAUAUAGAAACUCGUAGCACAGGACACCAAGGCUCCAGAUGUCCACAUUUGCGUCAUGCUCCACACUUUCAACUGCAAGUUUAACAUUUGAUCUUUCGUCAUUAAGUAAUAGCCAC